CAGGUCCUGCCCAGUGACAACAAGCCCAGCCCAAGACCCCUCUCCCAUAUAAACCCCUCUUCCCACAGCUGUGCAGCAGAAGGUGCUGGACGGGGCACAGCGGUUGAGAGAUACUGCUGAAGAGACAUUCCUUUAUUUUCUGAUGAUCCUCCAAACCUGCCUGUGCUGUUCCCUGAUGUGCCAGCAGCUGGGAUUGGUAGUCCAUCACCGCCUGGCUAUAAACUUCAGUUGGACUGUGAGGUAAGGACAAGCUUUGCUCCUCAGGAAGAAGCCCCCCAGCUAUGCAGCCACCUUAUCCUUGUGACCUUGUGUGUCACCAUCUGCCAUGGGUUCACAGGUGAGAGCUAUUUCCUUUUCUUGGAGAGAUGAGUUUAAAGGUGAAGCUGAUUGUUGUCAUGUGUUUAUUGCUAUUGGUUUGUUGUACCCAUGUGGAGCUUACUGCAGUGUUAUCCUGUUCAUAGCUAUUCACAAUUCCCCUUUGGUGUUUCAAAAAUUCCUUCUGGAUAAGUUCUUUAUGAUGCUGCUUAGGGCAACUUUUUCCAUUUCUGAUGAGUAGUGAUCCUCUUCUAGGUUAAAUGACUGACAUAUGACAUGGAUGGCAGUUACUUUGAUUUAUAUUAUCAAAGGGAAGGUUAAAAAAUUGAUUUGAUGUAUGUUUUGUAAACAGAACAUUAUGGGAAGGUGGAAAAUUUUUGCUGAAAUGUUCUUUUGUUUUGCUACAUUGUGCAGACCUUUUAAGAGCAGUCUUUGGAAGCCUUCUGAAGAUAAGGGGCUGGAUGUAUUUGUGUUGUCAGCUGUCCCAUGUGGCAGUGCAGGCUGGUGGGAUGGAAGAAGGUCGGUCACCUGCAGACUCUGAGGUUUCAUGAUGACCAAACCAACUGAGCUACACGUGCGAGUCUGUGAUUUGCUUGCAGAGAUCCGGAGUAGCAGAAGGAGCAUUUCAUAGGAUACGAGCCUGCUUUUUAAGUCUCAUUUUUUCAGUUUUUCAUAACCAAACAUGCUGUUUUAGGACAAGUGGA
Molecule: non-coding RNA, 1019 nt
Organism: Taeniopygia guttata (zebra finch)
Lineage: Eukaryota; Metazoa; Chordata; Aves; Passeriformes; Estrildidae
Source: RefSeq, a predicted model, not a curated record